GGCCUAACACAUGCAAGUCGAGCGGCAGCGCGGACUGUAGCAAUACAUUCUGGCGGCGAGCGGCGGACGGGUGAGUAAUACGUAGGAACCUACCCUCGAGCGGGGGACAACCAAUGGAAACGUUGGCUAAUACCGCAUAAUCUCGAGAGAGAAAAGGUGCCCGCAAGGGUGUCGCUUUUGGAGAGGCCUGCGUCCGAUUAGCUAGUUGGUGAGGUAAAGGCUCACCAAGGCGAUGAUCGGUAACUGGUCUGAGAGGACGACCAGUCACACUGGGACUGAGACACGGCCCAGACUCCUACGGGAGGCAGCAGUGGGGAAUAUUGGACAAUGGGGGCAACCCUGAUCCAGCGAUGCCGCGUGGGUGAAGAAGGCCUUCGGGUUGUAAAGCCCUUUAGGUUGGGAAGAAGGGUGUUGGGGGAAUAUCCCAGCACUUUGACUGUACCGACAGAA
This 450-nucleotide ribosomal RNA is filed under the name uncultured bacterium. Its description in RNAcentral is "bacterial SSU rRNA". It matches the Rfam family "Bacterial small subunit ribosomal RNA", at positions 45 to 486 of the family's 1533-position model. The record is from RNAcentral.